RNAcentral lists this microRNA precursor (145 nucleotides) under Gossypium arboreum. RNAcentral describes it as "MIR7502 microRNA precursor family". It matches the Rfam family "MIR7502 microRNA precursor family". Lineage: Eukaryota; Viridiplantae; Streptophyta; Magnoliopsida; Malvales; Malvaceae. The record is from Rfam by way of RNAcentral.
CCUUUAAAAAUUCAUCUUUUUGCACGAUUAAAAAUUGAGGUGACUGAUAGAAUAACUAAACAGUGACACAUGACAUACUAUGUAUAUCUCAUGUUGACGUACAAGAACUAAUUUUUAACAGUAAAAAUGUAUGAAAUUUUUAAUA